This 1119-nucleotide long non-coding RNA is filed under the name Betta splendens (Siamese fighting fish). RNAcentral describes it as "lncRNA (ENSBSLG00000006345.1)". The record is from RNAcentral. Lineage: Eukaryota; Metazoa; Chordata; Actinopteri; Anabantiformes; Osphronemidae.
AUGGGAGUGUUAAUAAAAAAUUACAAAAUAAAAGAUAAAUCUGCCAAGCGCGCACAAAAACGAGAGCGAGAGACUGCAAUGCUAAAACUAUUUACCGACCAGGCCAAAAUGUUGGGGGAGAAAAAAGAGAUGAAGAAGGGAGGGAAACCCCCUCCGUACGCUGCACAGAUGCCUGUUCGGGAAAUAAGACUGUUGGGGGACUACUCGCUUAGAUCUGGCAGAUCAGGUAAAAGCAUUUACCCGGUCAAGGAGUUAAAAAAGGUCAGGGAAAUAGAGAUAGAGCUAGAUGACCUAGAGGAGCUGCCCGCCACAUAUGCAAAAGCAGCGCAGCUUGCAGGGAAAGACACUCGCCGCAUUAGUGGAUUGCAUGAUAAAGUAAUGCAGGACAUCAAACAAUCAGAGUGUGCAGAGGACGGCAGCGAGGCCGAAGAGGAAUAUGACGGAGAGAGUGCGACUGGGGAAAGCGAGAGGGUCCGGAGGUCACUGGCAGAUGUGGAAUAUUCUAAGCUGCCAGAUCCGAGCAUGGUGUCGACCCCCCGCUAUUUAAAGGAGGGGGCCAAGCCCAAGCAGCCAGGGAUGAAGAAACGAGUGAGUGUGGCUGCAGCGUUUGCUCCCGGGAGUGAGGUGGAGGAAGAGCAUGGAAAGAUGAAUGGAAUCAUCACACUCAGCUCCCAGGGACAGCCAGUGUCUUCAGAAGUGGUGGAGGAAGCAUCAGAGUACCUCCUGCUGGCCAAAGGUGCAAAUCUGCAGUAUGUGCCCUGGCCAACCAUGGAUCUGGAGGGGCUGGUACAAAGACUGCCCUGUCUGCAUGAUGGGGCAGGGAAGUGGAUUGCAGCUUUCGAAGAAGAGACCAUCGCCACUAUCCUGGCUAUGGGUGACCUCAAGGCCCUCCUGGGAAAAGUGCUGGGGAAACAGGAAAUGGAGGAAACGCUGAGAGCAGCACAGAUGAACGCGUAUGCUGGAACACAGGCACACGAUGGAGAACUAUUCAAUAGACAUCGCAACGCGCUGUGGACAACCCUGAGACUGCGCUAUCCAACCAGAAUCCAGCCUGACAGCAUUGUGGCAGUGCCAAUAAAAGAUGAUGAGAGCCCACAAGCCUAUGUUCACCACACGUAA